Molecule: ribosomal RNA, 274 nt
Filed under: uncultured bacterium
Lineage: Bacteria
Description: partial 16S ribosomal RNA
Rfam family: Bacterial small subunit ribosomal RNA
Source: RNAcentral
AUACGGAGGGUGCAAGCGUUACUCGGAAUCACUGGGCGUAAAGGACGCGUAGGCGGGUUUGUAAGUCAGGUGUGAAAUCCUACAGCUCAACUGUAGAACUGCACUUGAAACUACAGACCUAGAGUAUGGAAGGGGCAGAUGGAAUUAGUGGUGUAGGGGUAAAAUCCGUAGAUAUCACUAGGAAUACCGAAAGCGAAGGCGAUCUGCUGGGACAUUACUGACGCUGAGGCGUGAAAGCGUGGGGAGCAAACAGGAUUAGAAACCCUAGUAGUCC